RNAcentral lists this transfer RNA (77 nucleotides) under Pseudobdellovibrionaceae bacterium. RNAcentral describes it as "Bdellovibrionaceae bacterium tRNA-Arg". It matches the Rfam family "tRNA". Rfam says of the family: Transfer RNA (tRNA) molecules are approximately 80 nucleotides in length. The record is from RNAcentral. RNAcentral also lists the same sequence under 1 other name. Lineage: Bacteria; Pseudomonadati; Bdellovibrionota; Bdellovibrionia; Bdellovibrionales; Pseudobdellovibrionaceae.
GACCACGUAGCUCAGUUGGAUAGAGCAACAGUUUCCUAAACUGUAGGUCGGAGGUUCAAUCCCCCCCGUGGUCGCCA